AGCGAACGCUGGCGGCAGGCCUAACACAUGCAAGUCGAACGGCAGCAUACUAAGAGUUUGUUUUUUCGGUUUUCGUGUCGCGGACGUGUGUGGCACAUAUCCGACCCUACCUUUUCGUGGGGGCUACCGACGGGAAACUUACGCUAUUACCGCAUACGUCCUACUUGUGAUAGAACCGGAUCUUCGGAUCUUGUGCGAUUGAAUGUGCCGCUGCCGGAUUAGCUAGUUGGCGGGGUAAAGGCCCACCAAGUCGACGAUCAGUAGCUGGUCUGAGAGGAUGAUCGGCCACACUGGAACUGAGACACGGUCCAGACUCCUACGGGAGGCAGCAGUGGGGAAUAUUGGGCAAUGGGCGCAAGCCUGAUGCAGCCAUACCGCGUGAGUGAAGAAGGCCUUCGGGUUGUAAAGCCCUUUUGUUGGGGAAGAAAAGCAGGAGGGUAAAAAACCGAUGGAAGGAAGGGAACCAAAAAAGAAGCACAGGCUAAAUUAGUG
RNAcentral lists this ribosomal RNA (492 nucleotides) under uncultured bacterium. RNAcentral's name for it is "partial 16S ribosomal RNA". It matches the Rfam family "Bacterial small subunit ribosomal RNA", at positions 29 to 507 of the family's 1533-position model. The record is from RNAcentral.